AGUGAACGCUGGCGGUAGGCCUAACACAUGCAAGUCGAACGGCAGCACAGUAAGAGCUUGCUCUUACGGGUGGCGAGUGGCGGACGGGUGAGGAAUACAUCGGAAUCUACUUUUUCGUGGGGGAUAACGUAGGGAAACUUACGCUAAUACCGCAUACGACCUACGGGUGAAAGUAGUGGAUCUUUGGACCUUGUGCGAUUGAAUGAGCCGAUGUCGGAUUAGCUAGUUGGCGGGGUAAAGGCCCACCAAGGCGACGAUCCGUAGCUGGUCUGAGAGGAUGAUCAGCCACACUGGAACUGAGACACGGUCCAGACUCCUACGGGAGGCAGCAGUGGGGAAUAUUGGACAAUGGGAGCAAGCCUGAUCCAGCCAUACCGAGUGGGUGAAAAAGGCCUUCGGGUUGUAAAGCCCUUUUGUUGGGAAAGAAAAGCAGCAGGUUAAUACCCCGCUGUUCUGACGGUACCCAAAGAAUAAGCACCGGCUAACUUCGUG
RNAcentral lists this ribosomal RNA (492 nucleotides) under uncultured bacterium. RNAcentral describes it as "partial 16S ribosomal RNA". It matches the Rfam family "Bacterial small subunit ribosomal RNA", at positions 29 to 507 of the family's 1533-position model. The record is from RNAcentral.